CCCUGACCUGCCCUUGUCCCCCCACAGAAGCACACGGACGAGCUGCAGGCACAGGCCGAGGCCUCGCUGCUGGCACUGGUUUGUCACCUCUACCAGGGGGAGAAGCCUGAGGCCUGCGGGGGCUCCAAGGCCCCGAAGAUCCGGCCUGGCUGCAGGCGCUGAGGGAGCGCUGAGGGAGAGGCCAAUAAAAAGGAUUUUUUAUGGAAAAGCA
This is a non-coding RNA of Zonotrichia albicollis (white-throated sparrow), 211 nucleotides long. NCBI's taxonomy places the organism in Eukaryota, Metazoa, Chordata, Aves, Passeriformes, Passerellidae. The record is from RefSeq and is a predicted model, not a curated record.